Molecule: ribosomal RNA, 466 nt
Filed under: uncultured bacterium
Lineage: Bacteria
Description: partial 16S ribosomal RNA
Rfam family: Bacterial small subunit ribosomal RNA
Source: RNAcentral
GAUGAACGCUGGCGGCGUGCUUAACACAUGCAAGUCGAACGGUGAAGGCGGAGCUUGCUCUGCUGGAUCAGUGGCGAACGGGUGAGUAACACGUGAGCAAUCUGCCCCUGACUCUGGGAUAAGCGCUGGAAACGGCGUCUAAUACUGGAUACGAGCUGCGAAGGCAUCUUCAGCAGCUGGAAAGAACUUCGGUCAGGGAUGAGCUCGCGGCCUAUCAGCUUGUUGGUGAGGUAACGGCUCACCAAGGCGUCGACGGGUAGCCGGCCUGAGAGGGUGACCGGCCACACUGGGACUGGGACACGGCCCAGACUCCUACGGGGGGCAGCAGGGGGGAAUAUUGCACAAAGGGCGAAAGCCUGAUGCAGCAACGCCGCGUGAGGGACGACGGCCUUCGGGUUGUAAACCUCUUUUAGCAGGGAAGAAGCGAAAGUGACGGUACCUGCAGAAAAAGCGCCGGCUAACUACG